Molecule: long non-coding RNA, 194 nt
Organism: Sinocyclocheilus grahami
Lineage: Eukaryota; Metazoa; Chordata; Actinopteri; Cypriniformes; Cyprinidae
Exons: 3
Source: RefSeq, a predicted model, not a curated record
ACGCCCCUCACGUCGCAGACGCGAUCCUGGGGAAUCAGAUGCUCACUCACUACGAGCGCGCUCACAUCGCUCAGCUGUGUGAGAAAGCCGGUUUACUGCAGAGAGCUCUGGAGCAUUACAGCGACCCCGACGACAUCAAACGAGCCGUCGUACACACACACCUGCUCAACCCCGAGUGGUUGGUGAAUUUCUUC